CACUUUUGGUUUGAAAAUUACAGUUCCUCCCCUUUUACUGAUCUGUAUCAAUAACCAUUCAUACCAAUCAACAUAACAGAAUUUGAUGGCGUCAUCAUUAGAACUUUUAGAAACCUGCCAGAAUGCAUAAGAUUCAGACAUGAAUGUGCACUUGCAUUAUGUGAUUGUUGCUCUGAGUAAAUGUGGAGUAGUUGAGGCCUAAUUUCAUGCAUUUUGAAUUGCUUUGAAAUAGAGUUGGAAUGUCUCUGCUUCCACUCAAUCAUAGGAGUUCUUGUGAAAUUAUAUUUGUUUGCCAAAACGCCACCCUAUUGAUCCUUAUAAGUUUAAUGUGGGACAGUAAAUCAUUUUGAAAAAUUCAAAGGCCCUUCCCCUUAGAAAUUUCUUUUACCACGAAAAAAAAAAUGAAGAAAGAAUAGCAAGAAAAAGGAAGACUACAUCUACUCCGCUGGUUUAGGUCACUUAGUAACUGGGUAACUUCAUCACAAAUAUUAUGAUUCACGUAGAACGGUGACUAGAGCCAUGAGUAUGCAAAGCACUUUAGGUAAAAUGUUCUUUAGUUGAGUAAUCGGGUGCCUUCACCACAAGGGUUGUCAUUCGCGUCAAAAGACCGAAAUACGACGUUUUUGGUUGAGUAACCGGGUGCCUUCACCACAAGUGUUGUCAUUCACGUCAAAAGACCGAAAUACCGCCUAAAGAACGUAAGUCACGGGCAAAAAACAAAGAAAAAAGAAUGAAAAUAAAGCCAUGACAACAAAAGGGGAAGAAAAAAGGGAAAAAAAUGGCCAAAGAAAAGAAAAAACAAAAGUUGUCCCAACUUAGGCAGAAAUAAGGAGAUAAAGGGUAUUGUGUUGAAGCGACGAGUAUGGUGACAUUUAGAAACCUAUGAUUUUGUGGAAGCUUGAUUGUUCUACUCUCUACUUGGCGAGACAAAGUGUUGUGGUGUGAUUGGCCUCUUACCCUCAUUAUGAUAAGUUAGCGUUUGCAUAACUUAUUGCGGCAUUUGUGUUUUGAGAUUAUCUGCAUAUGGGUUAUAGGUUACCUUUGUUGUUACAGAAUAUUAGCACAAUGUUGAGAUCAUAUUUUUUGCAGUGUCGGACUUUUGCUUGAGGACAAUAAUUGUUUAUGUUUGGGGAGUUUGAUAAGCUUAGUUUUAUAUAUUUAUAAUAGCAGAAAAUACUAUUUUGUUGUGUGGAAGGCAAUAACUUCAAAAAAAUUGCAACAAUCAUCUCAUUCUAUUUUUGUUUUAUAUCUAAAAAUUGUCGUAUUUUUUUUAUGGCUAUCUGAAAAUCCUGUGUAAAAGCCUUUAUUUAGAUUUUGUAUGACUACUAUUUUUGGUUGGGAGGUGAUAGAUUCUGACCAUGAUAUUAUUUUACCAAUAUAACUCACAAUAAUUAUUCUAAAAAUGUUUAAAUGCUAUAUUAUUAUGGUUAUCUUUUAUUUUAUGGAUUAUUCCUUUUAGAUGACCAUAUCAGCACAGAGUAAAUAUAACCUCUCAAAGCUACAUGAAAUAUACAAUUUGGCUAAGAGAUGUUUGGUGGUGGCAUUCCUAAGAAGGAUGGAAAAAUUGACUGUGCUGAAGACUGUUUCAGCAGGCAAGGCAAGCAUUUUUUAUUGUAUCACGACAACUGCAGGUUGAAACAUAUGCCUCAGUAGUCUGUAUACCUUCAGGCCAACAUGUCGAGUAUUGCCCGCGUGUCUGAAAGAGUGGUUAUUCAAAGUAUCAGAACAGGCUCUUCUCUUAGGUUUGCAUUGCUAAAAUGAAUUUAAGUGAUGAGUUAGAUUUGGAGGGUUAUGUGUCUCGACCAUAUAAAAUCCGUGCAGCUGAGGUGAUACCAUUAUUUCAGAAAAUUGAAGGUGUUGAAGUGUGCCUAUUUGGAAUGUGCGCUCGAGAAUGCAUUCGAUUGUCAGCAGCCUGAUCAUUGCCGAUCUUAUGUGGAAUCAGUUAAUGUAUUUCAGGCUGGAGGUCAAACCAGUGACCGGAGAACCUCUGCGAACAUUUGUGUACCAUGAAUUUUGGCAAGUUUCUGGAACCACUGCCCUUUUGCUAUUGCUAUCUUCUCUGUUGCGGCAAAAUAUUGUAGUUGCAAUUUCUGGUGCAAGUACCCAUAAUAUUCUUAUAUUUUCAGAUUCGACACUUAGAAUACUGUAAAAAGUGAAAUUUUAGUAGCUGUUGUACAUGGGCUUGCCCUCCGUUGAAAGGGGAAGAUUGCAUAUUGUAUUGCAAGCAGAAAUUAAAAAGACACCAAAAUCAGUUAAAGUUAGGGAGUGCAAAGGUAGCUGCAGCUUGGUUUCCAUACAUUGAUUGGGAUUAUUGGCUUGGUGCUCCAGAGGACAUGAUCUAUCAACUACAACAAGAAGAGAAUAGGAGAAAACAACAUAAGAAGGGAACUAUGAAAAAGAUGAUCAAGAAAAAAGCUCUGGAGGCAUCUGGCCAAACUGUGCUUGGUGAAGCGAUAUCUCCCAGGAAGGAAGACUUCGUCAUGGUACACUUACAGCAUGCAUGUGCGCACACACUGCUGCAUUCUGAUGAUAUCUGGAAAUUGUUGGGUUUGCAAACGAUGCAAAGAUUUUCAGCUAUGUGAAAACAAAUGGUUUGGUCCCGAAAAUUUGGUUGAUGCCAAUAUGAGGAUAUGUAAACAUGUAGAAAAGGAAGUGAUGAUAUUCAAGGAUGUUGUGAAUGAGAUCAGAGGAGUUGGAGGAAGUUAAUGCUUGCAAUAGAGGAAGUGGAGUUUGAUGUUGCAGUGCUCAAGAGCCGGAGGGUCAAGAACCAGGCUUCACGAAAGGACUUGGUUGAAUUUAAGUAGCUCAAGAAAUGGCACAUUGUUACUGAGGUAUUGUGAAGCGUUAUCAUUCCUCCUUCUUUUAUUUUCUUGGUUUUCGGAUGGAUUGGAGUGUAUUUCUUCUAUGUUUUUGCUGCUCUAAUUUAAUCUAUCUAGGAAUAAUAUAUCUGUUCUGUCACCUUGCUGAAACUAUGUUGUUGUUCUCUAUUCUUCGGCUUUUUGGUGCACAGGAUACAUAGUCAAAUAACCUUGUAAGAUGGUGAGUUUGUUCCCAAAAGAGUCCUAGAACAUGAGAUGAUCCUAUGUGGUUACAAAAAGGUGUAUUUUCCUUCUCCCCCUCCCCCUCUACAUUGUAAUCUGUUUGUGUGGUAGAGAUGGUGGUCUUGCAUGAUUGGACUCAGAUUGGAGUAAGUUCCUCCAAGCGGUUACAACCCUGCGACAUGUAAGAAUUGGCAGGAAGGGAAGUGAAAACAACAAAAGAUGUUGAAGUAAGGAGUGCCAGGUCAAGAGGUGAGGCAUAA
Molecule: non-coding RNA, 3301 nt
Organism: Sesamum indicum (sesame)
Lineage: Eukaryota; Viridiplantae; Streptophyta; Magnoliopsida; Lamiales; Pedaliaceae
Source: RefSeq, a predicted model, not a curated record